GAGCUUCAGUUGCUUCAGUUGCAGCGGCAGCAGCGGCAGCAGCGGCAGCAGCAGCAGCAGCAGCAAAAGCAGCAAUAGCAGCGACUUUGUGGAGUCCCUCUUGCUCCUACUCUCCCUCUCCCGCUGUCCCGCAGCCUCUCCCGCUCUCCCGUUCCCGCUGUCCCCUCCUCUCCCGGUCUCUCUCGCCCCAUGCCCGGCCGGGCCAUGCCCCCGGCCCGCCCCCGGCCCCGGGCGGGGCUGCCCCGUCCCUGUCCCUGUCCCUGUCCCCGUCCCCGUCCCCGGCCGUCCCGCCGCGGUCUCGCCCCCGCCCGGCUCUGGCCGUGCUGGCGCUGGCGCUGCUGGGCGGGCAUCAGUGCCUGGGGUUGGGGCGGCAUCGCCGCCCUUUGGCUCCGCCUGGCCCGAGCCCGGCCCCGGCCCCGACGUGGGCUCCAGUCCCGGCCCCGGCCCCGGCUCCUCCCGGGCCCCGCGGAGGACACAGGCGGCGCGGCCGCUGCCGCCGCCUCCGCUGCGGCUUCCCCGGCCCGAGCUCCGCCGCUCGGCAGCGCGGCCGCCGGCCCCGAGCCGCCGCUGUCCCGUUGCCAGCAGAGAAGGCCUGGGGAUGGCCGGCCCGGGGCGCUCGGGGGGCGCUCGGGGGCCGCUCCUGGCCCCGGGCCGAGCGCUGACAGCCGCGUCCCGCCCGCAGGGAAGGCGCAGGAGGCCCUGCAGGAGCGGUACCGGCUGGGUUCGCUGCUGGGCAGCGGCGGCUUCGGCAGCGUCUUCGCGGCCACGCGGCUCUCGGACGGCGCCCCGGUGGCCAUCAAAAGGGUGCCGCAGGAUCGCAUCCGGCACUGGGGCGAGCUGCCCGACGGCACCAGCGCACCCCUGGAGAUCGUGCUGCUGGCCAAGGUGGCCUCUGGCUGCGCUGGUGUCAUUCAGCUCCUGGAGUGGCUCGAGCUCCCCGACAGCUUCUUGCUGGUGCUGGAGCGCCCGGAGCGGUGCCAGGACCUGUCGGGUUUCCUGGCGGAGCGGAGGUUCCUGCCGGAGGAGGAGGCGCGGGGGCUGUUCCGCCAGGUGCUGGAGGCCGUGCGGCACUGCACCAGCUGCGGGGUCCUGCACAGGGACAUCAAGCCCCAGAACAUCCUGCUCGACCUGGCCACCGGGCAGCUGAAACUGAUCGACUUUGGCUGUGGCGCCUUCCUCCAAGACACAGCCUACACCCAGUUUGCAGGAACCCUGUCCUACAGCCCACCAGAGUGGAUCCACCACCGACGCUACCACGGCGAGGCAGCGACCAUCUGGUCCCUGGGCCUCCUGCUGUGCCACCUGGUCAUGGGCAAGCACCCGUUCAGGAGGGGCCAGGAGAUCAUCCGGGGGCGGAUCUUGUUCCCACGACGGCUCUCUCAAGGGAAGGAGAAGGAGCCCCUGGAGAAGCUGCACCAGGUGGGGCUGCUGCUGCUGGAGACACCAAGGACAACCUCAAGGAUGACAAUCUCUUCCUCGGCCUGGCCAGCUGAAGAUGAUGGACUUGGAUUCUGGCACCUUCUCCAAAGCCAGGCUCCACAGGGAAUUUGCAGAUGAGUCCACACGCAGGGGGAUGCUCCCAGAUUUGGGCAUUGCACAGCCUGGCCGGGAACCAAAGGUUCCCCCUUUGCUGGGGCGGAUGCAGCUGAUCCUUCAGUCGGCUGCCAGGCUGCUUUUGGCAGGGCUGGGGGCAUGGGCUGGGGUGGGUACGAAAUGGGAGUGGGCUCCUGGCCCUGCCAACAGCCCCCAGCACCCACCGUGCCCCGGGCUGGGGCUGGGGCUGGGGCAGCCAGCCCGACACAAACCAACCCCCAUGGUGGGAGCAGAGGUGGGACUCCAGAACCUGUGCGGGGGCUGCUUUGCUUUGCAGGCAAGGAAGGGCUUGGGCUGCUCCACUGCCCCUGUUUGCUUUGAGAUCACCGUUAUUUUGGGGGGCAGUGCAGGGGGAAGGGAGAAAGCCUGGGCUUCCCUCACCCGUGGGUGGGGUUUUCCCUGGAAUGCAGGGGUUGGGCCUUCCUCAAGCCCCUGACAGAGAUAAGAUUUUUGACCUUUUUCUUGUUCCCCUUUUUGUCUCUAAUCUAUUUUCAAACAUUCGUUGUGUGUUUUUCUAGAGGAAGCGUUCCAGGUGGGGUCCAGUCUGGAUGGGGAAGUGCUUGGGAGCAGCUGCGGCGUGGAUGGGCCGUGCCCUUGGAGAAGGCUGAGGACAUCGUUUGGGACCAGCUUUUCUUCCAGCGGUGGAUGGCGUCAGCCGGGCUCUGCGGGUGCUGAGGCUGCUCUGGGCUCUGCCAGGGCUCUGCUGGAGCUCAGCACCGGGCCAGAAUCAGCCAAAGAAGAAAUGGUGUGCCCUGCAGCACAGCCUUGCUUGAGCAUUUCAGCAACACAGCUCAAGUCGGCAGAGUGUACACCUCCAAAGGAAAAGAUGCCACCACCCAAAAA
Molecule: RNA transcript, 2436 nt
Organism: Vidua chalybeata
Lineage: Eukaryota; Metazoa; Chordata; Aves; Passeriformes; Viduidae
Gene name: serine/threonine-protein kinase pim-1-like
Exons: 6
Source: RefSeq, a predicted model, not a curated record